Molecule: transfer RNA, 72 nt
Filed under: Trachyrincus murrayi (roughnose grenadier)
Lineage: Eukaryota; Metazoa; Chordata; Actinopteri; Gadiformes; Macrouridae
Description: tRNA-Leu(CUN)
Rfam family: tRNA
About the family: Transfer RNA (tRNA) molecules are approximately 80 nucleotides in length. Their secondary structure includes four short double-helical elements and three loops (D, anti-codon, and T loops).
Source: RNAcentral
GCUACUAAAGGGUAACAGUGACCCACUGGUCUUAGGAACCAGAUAAUCUUGGUGCAAUUCCAAGUAGUAGCU